UGUAUGGUCCUUGUUAAAUGCUUACUUUGUGCCACACGCUUUACUAAAUGCUGGGGGAAAUACAAGUUAAUCACGUCGGUCACAGCCUCUGUCCCAUAUGGAACUCUCAGUCUAAAUUGGAGUGGGGAGGAUUUAAUCCUCAUUUUAUAGAUGAGGUAAUCGAGGCACAAGGAAGUUAAGUGACUUGGCCAAGGUCACACAGGAGACAAGUGGCGGAUUUGGGAGUAGAACCCAGGUCAUCUGACUCUCACUAGGCCACAAAUGACGGUAUAAAUGGUAUCAGUGACCAGUUCAUGAGCCCACCUCCAUUGAAAGGUCAUUGAGAGCAGAGAAUGUGCCUGCCAACUCUGUUGUAUUGCACUCUCCCAAGCCCUUAGUACAGUGCUUGGCAAAGAAGUGCUCAGUAAAUACCACUGAUAAUGAUGAUGACAUGGUGCCAUCACAGGGAACCGUCUGACCAGCAACCUUGGGUCCUCGUUUCUUCCCAUAGACAGGGUGAAGAUGAAGAUGCCCUUUACUCCCGAAGAAGAUCCCAGCAAAGUUUAUGGAUCCAGGCAUGGAAACGGGCAGGAGUAGAAGAUGGAAAUAACACCCAGAGAGGAAGUCCCUGCUGACAGACCGUAGUCCCAGUCCAGCCCCAGUGCUGGUAAAGAUCCUCUCAUCCUCAUCGGCAUUCAGAGCCAAGCUAGAGGCUCCUCAGCCUGGGCCUCCUCCGUCCUGCCUCCACCACAUUCAAACAGUAGCAAAUCCAGCUUAGAUGGUUUGUUUUACUGCUAUUUGCCUGGCGAUGGCAGCAGUGAAGAGAAAGUGACCCUGUAGCGGAAGGUAAGUAGUCUCUUUUGGCUCUUUUCUACCUCCUUUCCAUUUUCUUCUCUCCUCCUCUUAUCCUCUUUUUACCUCUCCCAAACUUUUCUUCCCUUUCCCUUUUUCCUUCACCAGCCCCAAUUCACUCCUGCCUUCAAGAUGAAAAGUUAACACACCUAGAAAAACAGGCCUUCUGCCCAAGUAGUUCCUCAUCCCAAACCCGAGAAUGCAUCCCAGCUCCAUUUUCAGAAAGUUUAAUGAAUUGAAGAUGGCACAGUGUAACCCCAGCCCCUCCCCCUUUCCCAGCUGUCACCGCUCUCCCCUCCUCCCCUGCUGGAACGUUUCAAAUCCUUCAAACCCCCUCGCUGCUUUGUUCAUCUCAUAGGCAGACACUAAGUGAAUUACAAACUGACAGCAGAGACUAAAAUUGCCAGCAUCAUCACCCUCACUUCUUCUCAGUGCCUGUGAGAGG
This 1276-nucleotide long non-coding RNA is filed under the name Ornithorhynchus anatinus (platypus). RNAcentral's name for it is "lncRNA (ENSOANG00000038625.1)". Lineage: Eukaryota; Metazoa; Chordata; Mammalia; Monotremata; Ornithorhynchidae. The record is from RNAcentral.